CCUACGGGUGGCAGCAGUGGGGGAUAUUGCACAAUGGGGGAAACUCUGAUGUAGCGACGCCGCGUGAGUGAAGAAGUAUUUCGGUAUGUAAAGCUCUAUCAGUAGGGAAGAAAAUGACAGUACCUGACCAAUAAGCCCUGUCUAACUACGUGCAAGCAGCCGCGGUAAUACGGAGGGGGCAAUCGUUAUCCGGAUUUACUGGGUGUAAAGGGAGCGUAGACGGUUUUGUAAGUCUGGAGUGAAAGCCCGGGGCCCAACCCCGGGACUGCUUUGGAUACUGUGUAACUGGAGUACAGGAGGGGCAGGCGGAAUGCCUGGUGUAGCGGCGAAAUGCGUAGAUAUCAGGAGGAACACCGACGGCGAAGGCGGCCUGCUGGACUGAAACUGACGUUGAGGCUCGAAAGCGUGGGGAGCAAACAGGAUUAGAUACCCCAGUAGUC
RNAcentral lists this ribosomal RNA (440 nucleotides) under uncultured bacterium. RNAcentral's name for it is "partial 16S ribosomal RNA". It matches the Rfam family "Bacterial small subunit ribosomal RNA", at positions 338 to 795 of the family's 1533-position model. The record is from RNAcentral.